This 232-nucleotide long non-coding RNA is filed under the name Oryza brachyantha (malo sina). Its description in RNAcentral is "long non-coding RNA (OBRA_LNC000609)". Lineage: Eukaryota; Viridiplantae; Streptophyta; Magnoliopsida; Poales; Poaceae. The record is from RNAcentral.
CGCCGCAAUCGUCCCCGCCCGCGGCCGCAGGUGCAGCCGCCUCGCCGCCCGCGAGAGCCGCCUCGCGCACGUCCCCAUCAGCGCCGCCACCGCCUGCGCGAUGCUCACGCCCAUCGCUCGCCGCCUCUCCUCCUCCUCUCUCGCUUCGCCUCCGAGACCUUGAUGGCUAGCUUGGCUUGGCUUGGCUUUCUCCCCUGCGCUGCCGCUUCUGCGUCUCCCCGCUUAGCUCGCA